GUAAGUGUGGGAGAGAUCCCCAGCUCAGCUAUGUAGAGGCGUUGUCUGUGGAGACAGCUGGGGGAAGGCUAGUGGUCACAGCACCUGUAUUAUUGUCAGGGAGCUGUGAGGCUAGGGAGCUGUGAGGCUAGGGAGCUGUGAGGCUAGGUAGUAUCAGGGAGCUGUGAGGCUAGGGAGCUGUGAGGCUAGGUAGUAUCAGGGAGCUGUGAGGCUAGGGAGCUGUGAGGCUAGGUAGUGUCAGGAAGCUGUGAGGCUAGGUAGUAUCAGGGAGCUGUGAGGCUAGGUAGUUUCAGGGAGCUGUGAGGCUAGGUAGGUUCAGGGAGCUGUGAGGCUAGGUAGUUUCAGGGAGCUGUGAGGCUAGGUAGUUUCAGGGAGCUGUGAGGCUAGGUAGUAUCAGGGAGCUGUGAGGCUAGGUAGUUUCAGUGAGCUGUGAGGCUAGGGAGCUGUGAGGCUAGGUAGUAUCAGGGAGCUGUGAGACAAGGGAGCUGUGAGGCUAGGUAGUGUCAGGGAGCUGUGAGGCUAGGUAGUAUCAGGGAGCUGUGAGGCUAGGUAGUAUCAGGGAGCUGUGAGGCUAGGGAGCUGUGAGGCUAGGUAGUUUCAGUGAGCUGUGAGGCUAGGGAGCUGUGAGGCUAGGUAGUAUCAGGGAGCUGUGAGGCUAGGGAGCUGUGAGGCUAGGUAGUGUCAGGGAGCUGUGAGGCUAGGUAGUAUCAGGGAGCUGUGAGGCUAGGUAGUAUCAGGGAGCUGUGAGGCUAGGGAGCUGUGAGGCUAGGUAGUAUCAGGGAGCUGUGAGGCUAGGUAGUUUCAGUGAGCUGUGAGGCUAGGUACUGUCAGGGAGCUGUGAGGCUAGGUAGUAUCAGGGAGCUGUGAGGCUAGGUAGUGUCAGUGAGCUGUGAGGCUAGGGAGCUGUGAGGCUAGGUAGUAUCAGGGAGUUGUGAGGCUAGGUAGUUUCAGUGAGCUGUGAGGCUAGGGAGCUGUGAGUCUAGGUAGUAUCAGGGAGCUGUGAGGCUAGGUAGUGUCAGGGAGCUGUGAGGCUAUGUAGUGUCAGGGAGCUGUGAGGCUAGGUAGUAUCAGGGAGAUGUUAGGCUAGGUAGUAUCAGGGAGCUGUGAGGCUAGGUAGUAUCAGGGAGCUGUGAGGCUAGGUAGUUUCAGUGAGCUGUGAGGCUAGGUAGUGUCAGGGAGCUGUGAGGCUACGUAGUAUCAGGGAGCUGUGAGGCUAGGUAGUGUCAGUGAGCUGUGAGGCUAGGUAGUUUCAGGGAGCUGUGAGGCUAGGUAGUUUCAGGGAGCUGUGAGGCUAGGUAGUUUCAGGGAGCUGUGAGGCUAGGUAGUUUCAGGGAGCUGUGAGGCUAGGUAGUUUCAGGGAGCUGGGAGGCUAUGUAGUUUCAGGGAGCUGUGAGGCUAGGUACUGUCAGGGAGCUGUGAGGCUAGGUAGUAUCAGGGAGCUGUGAGGCUGGGUAGUAUUAGGGAGCUGUGAGGCUAGGUAGUUUCAGGGAGCUGUGAGGCUAGGUAGUAUCAGGGAGCUGUGAGGCUAGGUAGUUUCAGGGAGCUGUGAGGCUAGGGAGCUGUGAGGCUAGGUAGUUUAGGGAGCUGUGAGGCUAGGUAGUUUCAGGGAGCUGUGAGGCUAGGUAGUUUCAGGGAGCUGUGAGGAAUGGUAGUGUCAGGGAGCUGUGAGGCUAGGUAGUUGCAGGGAGCUGUGAGGCUAGGUACUGUCAGGGAGCUGUGAGGCUAGGUAGUAUCAGGGAGCUGUGAGGCUAGGUAGUUUCAGGGAGCUGUGAGGCUAGGUAGUAUCAGGUAGAGACCAGUGUUACCAGGCUAGGUAGUAUCAGGUAGAGACCAGUGUUACCAGGCUAGGUAGUGAGACCAGUGUUACCAGGCUAGGUAGCUCCAUUGCUGUAGUGUCCUGUGCUCAGGAACUCGUCUUGUUUCUUCCAGCCAGGGAAAAUGGCAGUGGAGGAGGGAGCAGAGUUGCUAGGAGCAGACCUGAGCCCUAGGACCAUGCCUCAGGACUACCUGGUAUGAUGACUCCUUGCUGUCCCCAGUCCACCUGGCCGUGCUGCUGCUCCAGUUUCAACUGUUCUGCCUGCGGCUAUGGAACCCUGACCUGUUCACCGGACGUGCUUGUUGCACC
This 2125-nucleotide long non-coding RNA is filed under the name Salmo salar (Atlantic salmon). Its description in RNAcentral is "lncRNA (ENSSSAG00000086001.1, ENSSSAG00000105403.1)". Lineage: Eukaryota; Metazoa; Chordata; Actinopteri; Salmoniformes; Salmonidae. The record is from RNAcentral.